UUGCUGGGGGGAAGAAAAAGAAAUAUAAAUAUUGGAAAUAAGGGUAAGUCACUUCACACACUUUGUGGAAGAUGAGAACACUCAGGAACUGCAAAUACCCAGACACCACUACUGUCUGAACUUUAUUUGGCAAAGGAAGUAACCCAGGAGCAAAUGUGUAGUGAGGGAGGGUUUGUACCCAAAUUUCCAAAAUGUCUAAUUUACAAACCACUUCACCUUUUUUGAUCAAAUACUAUGUGCAGGCUAAAUGCUGGAAAAAAAUAAUGUGCAAAGAUAGUAAACUACUUGAAAUAAGGACACAUUUAAGGCAUUAAAGAUUUCAAGUAAGCCAGCAUGAAAGAAGGAAUAUUUGCAGUAGUGAAGCUUUAAAGAAAAGUGAUCUGCAGGCUCAGAAUAACACCCAGAGAUUUGACCUUGGGACUGAAAGCUUGGAACAUAGUAAGAACACUCAAUAACAUUUCAUUAGAGCCUUUUAUCUAAAUGUUAGAUAAAAGAUUAGAUUUUCCUUUAGAUUUUAUUUAAUAAAAAUACUGUUUAUUCCUUGCUUGUUUUUUAGCUAAUGUUAUUCACAAAUGGAGGAACCUCCGUUAAACCUUGGAAAAUGAUGAGAGUACAAUGACUUAUAAAAUAUGUUUUUAAGAAGUUUACAGUAUGAAAUUAAAAGAUCUGUAGAACACAAAAUAUAGGGUAAUAAACUUGGAUGAGUUUUCAGAAAGUUUAGUUUUAUGAGUGUAUAAUCUAAACCUUAUUCACAUCUCUAUUAAUGGGUAACUGUUCUGAGCUCUUAGGUAGAGCUCAUGUUACAUUUCCUUCCACUUGCACUGAAGCAUAUAGUCUUAGUAGUGGCACAAAUGCCAGAAGGCAUUGUGAGAAAAUACGAAUGAGGAACAGAACUUUGGCCUAAGAAAUGGAAAAGUGGUGAGAAGGAGCUGCCAGUCUUUAUGAUAGAUAGAGAAUAGGGCAAGUUUCCUCAUCUUUCUCAGACCUGAGUUAGAUGAUCUCUAAAAGGCUUUCCAGCUCUCAAAA
RNAcentral lists this long non-coding RNA (1026 nucleotides) under Sus scrofa (pig). Its description in RNAcentral is "lncRNA (ENSSSCG00005009454.1)". The record is from RNAcentral. Lineage: Eukaryota; Metazoa; Chordata; Mammalia; Artiodactyla; Suidae.